Molecule: non-coding RNA, 1833 nt
Organism: Peromyscus maniculatus bairdii (prairie deer mouse)
Lineage: Eukaryota; Metazoa; Chordata; Mammalia; Rodentia; Cricetidae
Source: RefSeq, a predicted model, not a curated record
CCGAAUCUCUGUGAGUUCGAGGCCAGCCUGGUCUACAGAGGGAGUUCCAGGACAGCCAGGGCUACAUAGAGAGAUAUGGUGGUGGCAGAUAUCUGUAAUUUCGGCACUCAUGAGGUUGAGGUAGGAGAAUUGUUCGAAUUCAACGCCCGUUAGGGCUAUAUAGCUGAAAAGAGUAGAUGCUUAGUUUAACCACAAAGUGGCGCUAGCGAGCUGAGUAGCCAACAGCCGGAGUCUGGCGCUUCCCCUACUCUCACUGAAGAGAACACAACUGUAUGAGGAAAGCUGAGCUGGGAGCCCUGGAGGCCAGCUCCCUCAUCCAGGGGCCUUCACCUUCUUCUAAUGGGCAGCAUGCUGUCAGCAACAGCGUUUAUAGGGGCCUGCAAUGCCCUGGCCUUGGGGAAGGAGGGAAAGAUGAGAGUUGGUCCCUGAUCCUCUGGGGGUGCGGUGGGGACACCAGUCAUGGCUUGAAUCACUCUCAGUAAGUGCCACAUAGGAUGCAGAGACCACAGCAAGAGAAGAGCAGAGGAACACAGGCCACUCUCUGUUUACAACCCAAGGCCAAAGGAACUGGUUACCAGGGUGACAGGCUUGAUUUCAUCUUUAGAGGGAGAAGAACUUAAGCCUGGUGAAAGGCGAAGGGGUCUGAGGAGGAGCAGGAGGAGGAGGGGGGCUAGGGUUAAGAAUGGAUUGACCUCCAGAGAGCCAGAAAAAGCAGGAGGUUUCAUGUGUCUCCUGGGACAGUCUUUGUGAGCAUAAAGGUUAAACCGAAUUAUAGCUGAUAUAUGAGUUUGGUAACUAGAUUCUUGAACAGGUCCCGGCAAUUCAAUCCCCAGCUCCACAGGAACCUCAAGUGACCCUGUGAGGGCCCCUGGCUGUCCCAUCCUUCAGAGCAACAAGGGAUCAGUCAUGGCUCUCUCCCAGGGGGCCUCUUUUCCCUGCUCCUCACACACAGGUGGGAUCUGGCAGAGACCAGAUACCGUACUGACCAUCAUCUAGAGGACCACGUAGAAACCCACCAUCAGAAAAUGGCUGUGUCCCUUGGUUUUGGUACACGGAGGACGACUCCAAGACUCAGAAAAGCUGGCCUCAAACUCAGGGCAAGCCUUCAGCUUCAACCUUCCCAGUGCUGGGAUUCCAAGCUCCGCACGUGAUCAUUACACCCAGCAACAAUUCAUUUGCUUUUGAGAAGACUGAGGGAGGCAAACAGUGGUUCCAGGCAGAUGUGUCUGUAACCCUGAUGAGGCUGACCCGAGUGCUGACAUGCCCAUUAAACACAGUGUUCAUCAGCGCAAAAGGAAGGGAAGCUGUAAUGGUAAAUCUUGGCUGUCACGUUGACUGGCUCUAGAACCAGCUAGGAGCGCUUCACGCACACCUGUGGGGGAUUUUCUUGACUAGGCUGGCUGUGUGGAACCUUCUGCAGAGGCUCUGAGGAGGUCUGAGAGGAGAGUUUGUGCUUUUCUGCCUGCCUGUCUUUGCUUCUUGAUGGUGACCGCUACUGCUGCCGCCAGGAUGUUUCGCUGACGUCAGAAGCCUGUUUCUUUGGACUUUCAACAUGGACUGAAGUCUAGUGUCUCCCCAGUAAUCCUCCAGCCCUUUGAUGAAAGAGAGGGCUAUUGAUUCAUCCGGCCUCAGGGCCCGAGUGGCUCUCUAUUCUCCGUCUCUCUACUGUGAAGACAGACUGUAUCGUGUAAGUCAAUCUAGUAAGUCCCCUUUGUUUUAUGUAUCCGUGCCAUCCAUUCUGUUCCUGUAGUGAAACUUGACUAUACAAGGGCUGACCUCCAAAUCCAGGGCAGUGACUUCUGGGUCACACAGGUGUCUGGGACUCUAGGGCCU